GGCGCUGUAGCUAAGUGUUAAAGCCGAAGUUUGCAAAGCUUCCAUCCUUCAGUUCAAAUCUGGAGCGGCGCCUCCA
Molecule: transfer RNA, 76 nt
Filed under: Sulfurimonas sp.
Lineage: Bacteria; Pseudomonadati; Campylobacterota; Epsilonproteobacteria; Campylobacterales; Sulfurimonadaceae
Description: tRNA-Cys
Rfam family: tRNA
About the family: Transfer RNA (tRNA) molecules are approximately 80 nucleotides in length.
Source: RNAcentral